Molecule: ribosomal RNA, 496 nt
Filed under: uncultured bacterium
Lineage: Bacteria
Description: partial 16S ribosomal RNA
Rfam family: Bacterial small subunit ribosomal RNA
Source: RNAcentral
GAUGAACGCUGGCGGCGUGCCUAAUACAUGCAAGUCGAGCGAACAGAUAAGGAGCUUGCUCCUUUGACGUUAGCGGCGGACGGGUGAGUAACACGUGGGUAACCUACCUAUAAGACUGGGAUAACUUCGGGAAACCGGAGCUAAUACCGGAUAACAUUUGGAACCGCAUGGUUCUAAAGUGAAAGUUGGUUUUGCUAUCACUAAUAGAUGGACCCGCGCCGUAUUAGCUAGUUGGUAAGGUAACGGCUUACCAAGGCGACGAUACGUAGCCGACCUGAGAGGGUGAUCGGCCACACUGGAAGUGAGACACGGUCCAGACUCCUACGGGAGGCAGCAGUAGGGAAUCUACCGCAAUGGGCGAAAGCCUGACGGAGCAACGCCGCGUGAGUGAUGAAGGGUUUCGGCUCGUAAAACUCUGUUAUUAGGGAAGAACAAACGUGUAAGUAACUGUGCACGUCUGGACGGUACCUAAUCAGAAAGCCACGGCUAACUACGU